GUGUACGCGUGAGAUGAUGAAGGCUUAGGGUUGUAAAGCUCUUUCGCACGCGACGAUAAUGACGGUAGCGUGAGAAGAAGCCCGGCUAACUUCGUGCCAGCAGCCGGGUAAUACGAAGGGGGCUAGCGUUGUUCGGAAUUACUGGGCGUAAAGGGCGCGUAGGCGGCCUGUUUAGUCAGAAGUGAAAGCCCCGGGCUCAACCUGGGAAUAGCUUUUGAUACUGGCAGGCUUGAGAUCCGGGAGAGGAUGGUGGAAUUCCCAGUGUAGAGGUGAAAUUCGGUAGAUAUUGGGAAGAACACCGGUGGCGAAGGCGGCCAUUCUGGACGGACCACUGACGCUAAGGCCAAAAGCGUGGGGAGCACAGGUUAAAUUCCCUUGUAGUUCACCCCGUAAGAUGAUUGCUAGCCGUGAGGAGCAUGCCUACGGGUGUCACGUUAACGCAUUAAGCAUUCCGACCGGGGAGUCGGGCCGGAAAGGUUUACAACUCAAAAGGGAAUUGACGAGAGGCCCUGCAACCAAGCGGUGUGAAGCAUUUGUUGGUUAUAAAUAACAAAAAGC
This 558-nucleotide ribosomal RNA is filed under the name Azospirillum lipoferum. RNAcentral's name for it is "bacterial SSU rRNA". It matches the Rfam family "Bacterial small subunit ribosomal RNA", at positions 393 to 972 of the family's 1533-position model. The record is from RNAcentral. Lineage: Bacteria; Pseudomonadati; Pseudomonadota; Alphaproteobacteria; Rhodospirillales; Azospirillaceae.